RNAcentral lists this ribosomal RNA (459 nucleotides) under uncultured bacterium. Its description in RNAcentral is "partial 16S ribosomal RNA". It matches the Rfam family "Bacterial small subunit ribosomal RNA", at positions 338 to 795 of the family's 1533-position model. The record is from RNAcentral.
CCUACGGGUGGCUGCAGUGAGGAAUAUUGGUCAAUGGGCGGGAGCCUGAACCAGCCAAGCCGCGUGAGGGAAGAAGGUCCUGCGUAUCGUAAACCUCUUUUGUCAGGGAACAAAGGCGGGGACUAGACUCCGGAGCAGGGUACCUGAAGAAAAAGCAUCGGCUAACUCCGUGCCAGCAGCCGCGGUAAUACGGAGGAUGCGAGCGUUAUCCGGUUGUAUGGGGUUUAAAGGGUGCGCAGGCGGCCGGUUAAGUCAGCGGUAAAGGCCCGGGGCUCAACCCCGGCAAGCCGUUGAAACUGGGGGGCUGGAGUUGGAGAGAGGUACGCGGAAUGCGCGGUGUAGCGGUGAAAUGCUUAGAGAUCGCGCAGAACCCCGAUUGCGAAGGCAGCGUACCGGCUCCACACUGACGCUGAGGCACGAAAGCGUGGGUAUCGAACAGGAUUAGAUACCCCUGUAGUC